GUGAAACCCGAGAGCGCGCAGUUCGUGCCAGGCGCCGCGAGGCAGAGCGCCCGCAGCAUCCCUGCGAGGUGUCCCCAGGUUACAGAGGGGGGACUGAGGGUCGGAGAGGGGAGAAGCGUCCGCCAUCCGGGACGAGUUGCUGAGCGCGGAUUGGAACCCAGACAGUCAGAUACCUUCCUCGUGGCACCUUGUCAGCCCAGCUCUGGGGGGACUUGGAUUAAUUCUCUGAAGGUCCACUCUGGGGAGGUGCUGGGGUCUGGACCCGGUGCAAUCUAUACUCUCGAGGACUCCGAGGGCUGCGUUUAUGCCUGGAUAAUGUCAUAUGGCUUAGAUGCGCUGUCACAAAGUGGGUGGUGGCAACGUGCCCUGCGCGCCGCAUGGAGCGCAGAGCGCCCAGGGAGAAACAGGCGCACGGUUUAGGGAGCCAGCGCCGGGGCUUUUUGCACCCACAAGAAACGACAGCUCGCCACCUCCCCCAGGGUAUCUGUCCCGGUCAGUGGCUCCCAGAGAGUCCCCAGAGGACCUGUCUGAGCAACCCUGUAGCCCUGUGAACCUCGGAGGGCCCAACUACCUACCUAUCCAAGUGCUAUGCUGAACUGCGAUUCCUUCCUGUUCCCCUACAACCUCCCAUCCCCUGCCCUCCCCGCUGCCCAAAGGGACCUACCGUCUUCAUAAUGUGGGGCAUUCCUUCUAGACGUUUCCCAACACCUGUACAGUCCAUAUGUUUGCCUGGGGGGAUAUGUGAAAUCCUUUGAUCGUGGUGAGCGUGGUGGGCAGGUGGGCAACAGAAAUGUCAUAACCCAUCUGGUCAUUCUGCAACUGACCCCUCACCAGCUAUCUAUACAGAGCCAUCCACACUGCUGCGUUUAAACCAGCUGGUUGAUUUAAACUGCUGCCUGGGUAGGCCACUGAGGGACGUCUGGGUCCCCAAAUUUGGGAGGGGCUUUUAUUUUAGACUCUUCUAUGAAUUGCCAUCGGAGAUUAAGUUCAAUUUCCUGUCGCUUGUCCUAAACUGAUUGUACAGGAUCUGAGUUUGGGAGGUGCUGCUUCUUCUUUUCCAUCGCACACACACAGGCUCGUGUACGCAUGCACACGCACACACCCAUGUGUAACAUGCACACCGAUGAGCGCACACACACACACACACACACGCACGCACACAUCUCUAUUCUGUCUGCCUGUGGCCGAGGACAGACACUCAGGCCCCUCUGGCUGCAAUCUGUGGCUGCAGUCCCCGCAGAGCCCAAAGUCUGGGACCGACUCAGGCCUCAAACUCUGCUAGUCCAAGCCCAAUGGGCAGAGUCCACCCACUGUCACAUCCGGGGGCUCUUUUUAGCUGCCCACAAGCCCAUCCCUGCCCUGUGAGAGAAGACAGAGGCCAAAGCAGGGGUCCAGCCACCUCUGAUGUCCCCCACCCCACCCCACCUGUGGAGGACCAUAGCAGAGGCCGGGAGGGCCAGUCUUAGGAGGCUUAGAUCCUGGCCCGGGAGCCCCACCCUGGUCACUGCCCAAGUCCAGAGAGGACGGGGGGGCUGGCCGUGGAGGAGCCACCUGCCCGGGAACACCUUUACUGCAGAAUUCAGGGCAAGCAGGGUCCCUGGAACAUGUCAAGGAGAAGCCAUGUUCCUGCGGUCAGCAGGCUGAUGGGUGGCCACGCACCCGCCUUUGGAACAGGAGCCUGGCUGAGCCUCACGGGGCCCUGUGGCCUGCUG
Molecule: long non-coding RNA, 1712 nt
Filed under: Marmota monax (woodchuck)
Lineage: Eukaryota; Metazoa; Chordata; Mammalia; Rodentia; Sciuridae
Source: RNAcentral